UUGAACGCUGGCGGCCGGCCUAACACAUGCAAGUCGCGCGGAUGAAGGGAGCUUGCUCCUGGAUUCAGCGGCGGACGGGUGAGUAAUGCCUAGGAAUCUGCCUGGUAGUGGGGGAUAACGUCCGGAAACGGGCGCUAAUACCGCAUACGUCCUGAGGGAGAAAGUGGGGGAUCUUCGGACCUCACGCUAUCAGAUGAGCCUAGGUCGGAUUAGCUAGUUGGUGGGGUAAAGGCCUACCAAGGCGACGAUCCGUAACUGGUCUGAGAGGAUGAUCAGUCACACUGGAACUGAGACACGGUCCAGACUCCUACGGGAGGCAGCAGUGGGGAAUAUUGGACAAAGGGCGAAAGCCUGAUCCAGCCAUGCCGCGUGUGUGAAGAAGGUCUUCGGAUUGUAAAGCACUUUAAGUUGGGAGGAAGGGCAGUAAGUUAAUACCUUGCUGCUUUGACGUUACCAACAGAAUAAGCACCGGCUAACUUCGUG
Molecule: ribosomal RNA, 483 nt
Filed under: uncultured bacterium
Lineage: Bacteria
Description: partial 16S ribosomal RNA
Rfam family: Bacterial small subunit ribosomal RNA
Source: RNAcentral